Molecule: long non-coding RNA, 1371 nt
Organism: Capsicum annuum
Lineage: Eukaryota; Viridiplantae; Streptophyta; Magnoliopsida; Solanales; Solanaceae
Exons: 3
Source: RefSeq, a predicted model, not a curated record
UUAUUUUUUCACUUUUAGUCACUUCACUCUUAUGUCAUUUAAUCACUGUUUUAUCAGAAUGAUAUAGGCAUAUCUAUGCUUUUUUUUUUUUUUCAAGUUGAUAUAGGCACGAGUAAACUAAUUUUCCAGAUUUAUAUUAGCUUAGGCUUGUGUGUGAUUUUUUCUCUUUUAGUCACUUCACUCUUGGAUCACUUAAUCACUGUUUUUUUUCAGUUUGGUGCAGUCAAUGUUCAAUGUUUUGGCUAUUUUUUCACUUAGUUUUAUAAUUGUAAGUUACUAUGUUUGCUAAUGUCUCCAGUUCAUCAGAUAGUGUUGCAUCAAGCAUUUGUUCUGAAAGUUGAUUCCUUGUUCAAACUUCCCUAAAAAUUGAUACGACGUGGCUUUAAUGAUCAUGAAGGUUCGUGACUUUUCUAUUAUAGUGGAUAAAGUUUAGUGACAAUACGUGUAGCUCUGAGCUUAGCUUGCACAUUAGCUUGUCAAGAGCUUAAUGGAAACAUCUGGCAAACUCAGUCAUGGGCUGGAAACACCUUGUUCCAUUUAAAAAUCAGUUUGUUGGACAACAACCUACUGGUGGCACACUUAUGAUGCCAACCUUCCAUGCUCCGAGGCUGUACAAAGUCUAUUAUAUACAAAUGUGGUGUUAGCUUCCGAUACAUACCUCUUUAGGAUUUUACUUAUGCAAACAAGACCAUCCUUUAUGUGGUUCUCAUACGCUUCCAUGAGAAGGACCAAGUGCAGCAGUUAGAUUUCUGCACACAGUGACAAAUUGAUUGAUCUGCUGAGGCAAGUUCAGGACAUUCUGUUUGGAGAGUGAUAGGUUACUAUUUUUCACUGGAGCUUCAAGGUCAAAGAGAAAUGUCAAUCAACUAGUUGGAUCUAAGCAACUUGUUGCCUCGUCAAGUGCAGUUCCUGAUGAAGAUUCUGAUGAAUUUGAACAGGAUGACCAAUCAAUUUUAAAGCCUAAGGCAAUAUCUGAAGCUAAGACUAGGCUUCAAGCCAAAAAAAUGUUGUCAACCAACUGAUACUAGGAGGAGAGAAAUGAAAAUGGAGUUAGUGUGCCUGUUAAUUUGCCGUACUCACCAAGAAACUGACUUGGAAAAGCAAAACAACUCCGACUUCUAACCAGUUGACGGUUGAAAAGGAGAAAAAAAUGGGCAAACUAAAGACAAGGAGGGGUGGAAAGCAAUAGAAAAGAAGUGACUGAAUGUAUAAUCUAGUUUGAAUUGUUAUGUAAUGGCAAAAUGAAACUUUAUAUUUGAUUGUUUUUUAUGUUAAUUAGACUUGAAAGUUGUUGUAUCUGGAAAGAAAUGACCAAUGGUUUGUGUUUUUUGAACAAUGCAAUUGCAUAUGAGAAUGUCAUUGCUUGUGGUU